RNAcentral lists this ribosomal RNA (459 nucleotides) under uncultured bacterium. Its description in RNAcentral is "partial 16S ribosomal RNA". It matches the Rfam family "Bacterial small subunit ribosomal RNA", at positions 29 to 523 of the family's 1533-position model. The record is from RNAcentral.
AACGAACGCUGGCGGCAUGCCUAACACAUGCAAGUCGAACGGGAUCCUGGCUUCGGUCAGGUGAGAGUGGCGGACGGGUGAGUAACGCGUGGGAACCUGCCCAGUGGUGGGGGAUAACUGCGGGAAACUGCAGCUAAUACCGCAUGAGCCCGAGAGGGGAAAGAUUUAUUGCCAUUGGAGGGGCCCGCGUUCGAUUAGGUAGUUGGUGGGGUAACGGCCUACCAAGCCGACGAUCGAUAGCUGGUCUGAGAGGAUGAUCAGCCACACUGGGACUGAGAUACGGCCCAGACUCCUACGGGAGGCAGCAGUGGGGAAUAUUGGACAAUGGGGGCAACCCUGAUCCAGCAAUGCCGCGUGAGUGAUGAAGGCCUUCGGGUUGUAAAGCUCUUUUGCCAGGGACGAUGAUGACGGUACCUGGAGAAUAAGCCCCGGCUAACUUCGUGCCAGCAGCCGCGGUAA